Molecule: non-coding RNA, 62 nt
Filed under: uncultured Buttiauxella sp.
Lineage: Bacteria; Pseudomonadati; Pseudomonadota; Gammaproteobacteria; Enterobacterales; Enterobacteriaceae
Description: DnaX ribosomal frameshifting element
Rfam family: DnaX ribosomal frameshifting element
About the family: This family represents a ribosomal frameshifting element found in the mRNA of the dnaX gene in E. coli. The dnaX gene has two encoded products tau and gamma which are produced in a 1:1 ratio.
Source: RNAcentral
GCAGGGAGCCAACAAAGCAAAAAAGAGUGAGCCGGCAGCGCCAAAUCCAGCGCGGCCGGCAA